This 1700-nucleotide long non-coding RNA is filed under the name Sus scrofa (pig). Its description in RNAcentral is "lncRNA (ENSSSCG00035002165.1)". Lineage: Eukaryota; Metazoa; Chordata; Mammalia; Artiodactyla; Suidae. The record is from RNAcentral.
CUCCGACCGAAGGCUGCCGGAACAAGCGGGCGAGAGGCGCGGGGCCACUAACAAGCGCCCCCGGCCCCUCGAGCCCCGUGAGCCAUGGCGGGCGCCCGGCGAGUCCGCCGCUCCACAGCGAGUGGCUAGCCGGGCCUGGCGGCCACUGCUGCCUACCCUCUUCCUUCUGCUCUCCGGGCUUCGGAACUGCGGAGAGAAGGAUGAGCCCCUGAAGCUGGUUCCUGCAGCCCGCCCUCUGCCUGCUGCCCGCCCUCUGCCUCCUGCCGGCGAGCGCAGCCCCUGCGCUCGGCGCCCCCGCCUACGCCAACUGCGAGCUCAAGCCCCAAGUCAUCUUUGCUUUGAACCAGACCCUCCUGCAGCAAGAGAGCCUGAGAGCAGGUGGCCUUCAGAUGCCCUACUCCACAGAGGACCUCAUCAAACACUAUAACUGCGGGGACCUCAGCUCCGUCAUCUUCAGCCAUGAUAGCUCCCAGAGAAUGAUAUUGCAGCCCGGAAGAACAGCAGGCGGGAGAUUCCUAGGAUGGUGUGCCACACUUGCUCUUUGCCUUGCAUCAUCUUGACUCUCUGGGCUGGGUGAUUUGAUGCCCAAAUAAGCAACUUCAUAGCCCUGUGGCCAUUAAUUUUUGUUUUUCUUUUUACUUUGGUGGAGGUUCCCAAUUUUAUUAAUGCCACGCUACUGCCCCAGGAACGCAUCACUGCUCAGGAGAUUGACAGCUACUUCCGCCGGGAGCUCAUCCACAAGCGGGAGGAGAGGAUGGGGAAGCGGGUGAAGGCCCUUUUGGAAGAGUUCCCCGACAAAGGCUUCUUCUUUGCCUUUGGAGCUGGGCAUUUCAUGGGCAACAACACAGUUCUGGAUGUCAUUCGGCGUGAAGGCUAUGAGAGGCAAGAGUAAAAGCCCCGCAUUGCGUCCUGCUGCCUCUCUUGGCUCCGGAAGCGCCGACCCCGGAAGCACCUCUACCGGAAGCUGGGGCCGCUGGGCGCUCACUGUUACAGCCCUACGCGUCUCUGCCUCACGUGACUGUGCCCGGAAGCAUGGACUUGCACCGAGGCAGAAAGAAAGUUCCGGAAGAAGCGGAGACGGCCUUAGCGGAGGCAGUGGCUUCGGCAAUUCAGCGACCUGUGCCUCUGACUGGAGGAGAGAGAAGAGCGGUGACAAGAAGCUGUGCAGACCUUUGGGGGCCUCAGAGUAUCCAGUGGCUCCUUGUGCCCUGAGACUGUCUCUCUCUUUGCCUCCAAGUGCUGUGGGCCCACAGCUCCAGGUCCCUGUUCUGGCGGGCACAUCUCCGCUGAGCUGUGGCUCUCUCACCAUGGACAUUCCCCCAACAGCCAGACGGUGGCCAGCAGUGCCUGCCUGUCUCUCUGGAUCCCUGCGUUCUGGGUGCUGGAGCUGGCUUUCCAGACAGAGGCACUCUUCCUGUACUGACCAGAGGAGCCAAGCCAAGACCCUGGCCCCUCGGACUUGAAGGCCAGUCAUUCCUGUACCCACACUCUGGUCAGGCCCUGAUAGACCCAACCCAGGAGAAGAGACUCCAAAUAAAGCCAGUGUUGCUUCUCCUUUUUCCAAGGAAUGACUUUGGGUUUUCUAGCAAUCCUUGGGGUGGGUGGGGGGAGUUGUACAGCUUUGUAACGUAAUGAGCUGUAUGAAGAUAAUUAAUGGUAAAUGAAUCGUAUGGAAAUAAUUAAAUACCUUUUUGUGUGUG